Molecule: small nuclear RNA, 108 nt
Organism: Callithrix jacchus (white-tufted-ear marmoset)
Lineage: Eukaryota; Metazoa; Chordata; Mammalia; Primates; Cebidae
Source: Ensembl
AUGCUUGUUUUGGCAGCACAUAUACUACACAUUGGAAUGAUACAAAGAAGAUGAGCAUGGCCCCUGAAAAAGGAUGACAUGCAAAUUUAUGAAGUGUUCCAUGUUUUU